GAUGAACGCUGGCGGCGUGCCUAAUACAUGCAAGUCGAGCGAACAGACGAGGAGCUUGCUCCUUCGACGUUAGCGGCGGACGGGUGAGUAACACGUAGGUAACCUACCUCUAAGACUGGGAUAACUUCGGGAAACCGGAGCUAAUACCGGAUAAUAUUUCGAACCGCAUGGAUCGAUAGUGAAAGAUGGCUUUGCUAUCACUUAUAGAUGGUCCGGCGCCGUAUUGGCUAGUUGGUAAGGUAACCGCCUACCAAGGCAACGAUACGUAGCCGACCGGAGAGGGUGAUCCGCCACACCGGAACUUGGACACGGGCCAGACUCCUACGGGAGGCAGCAGUGGGGAAUCUUGGCCAAUGGGCGCAAGCCUGACCCGGCCAUACCGCGUGGGUUAAGAAGGCCUUCGGGUUGGAAAACCCUUUUUUUUGGAAAGAAAAAAAGCAGGUUAAUACCCCGCUGUCCUGACGGUACCCAAAGAAUAAGCCCCGGCUAACCUCGUG
This 497-nucleotide ribosomal RNA is filed under the name uncultured bacterium. RNAcentral describes it as "partial 16S ribosomal RNA". It matches the Rfam family "Bacterial small subunit ribosomal RNA", at positions 28 to 507 of the family's 1533-position model. The record is from RNAcentral.